This 253-nucleotide ribosomal RNA is filed under the name uncultured bacterium. RNAcentral describes it as "partial 16S ribosomal RNA". It matches the Rfam family "Bacterial small subunit ribosomal RNA", at positions 524 to 776 of the family's 1533-position model. The record is from RNAcentral.
GACAGAGGGUGCAAACGUUGUUCGGAAUUACUGGGCGUAAAGCGCGUGUAGGCUGCUCUGCAAGUCGGGUGUGAAAGCCCUGGGCUCAACCUAGGAAGUGCACUCGAAACUGCAAAGCUGGAGUCCUGGAGAGGAAGGCGGAAUUCUCGGUGUAGAGGUGAAAUUCGUAGAUAUCGAGAGGAACACCGGUGGCGAAGGCGGCCUUCUGGACAGUGACUGACGCUGAGACGCGAAAGCGUGGGGAGCAAACAGG